RNAcentral lists this ribosomal RNA (407 nucleotides) under uncultured bacterium. RNAcentral's name for it is "partial 16S ribosomal RNA". It matches the Rfam family "Bacterial small subunit ribosomal RNA", at positions 30 to 526 of the family's 1533-position model. The record is from RNAcentral.
AUUGAACGCUAGCGGGAUGCCUUACACAUGCAAGUCGAACGGAGUGGCGAACGGGUGAGUAAUGUAUCGGAACGUGCCCAGUAGCGGGGGAUAACUACGCGAAAGCGUAGCUAAUACCGCAUACUAUUGGAGCGGCCGAUAUCGGAAUAGCUAUGUGGUGGGGUAACGGCUCACCAAGGCGACGAUCCGUAGCUGGUUUGAGAGGACGACCAGCCACACUGGGACUGAGACACGGCCCAGACUCCUAACGGAGGCAGCAGUGGGGAAUUUUUGACAAUGGGGGCAACCCUGGUCCAGCCAUCCCGCGUGUGCGAUGAAGGCCUUCGGGUUGUAAAGCACUUUCAGCGAGGAGGCGUUACUCGCAGAAGAAGCACCGGCUAACUCCGUGCCAGCAGCCGCGGUAAUAC